UACAGAGGUCUCAAGCGUUGUUCGGAUUCAUUGGGCGUAAAGCGCACGUAGGCGGUCUGUUAUGUCGGAUGUGAAAGCCCUCGGCUCAACUGAGGAAGUGCAUCCGAAACUGGCAGGCUAGAGUACCAAAGAGGGUCGCGGAAUUCCCGGUGUAGAGGUGAAAUUCGUAGAUAUCGGGAGGAACACCGGUGGCGAAGGCGGCGACCUGGGUGGAUACUGACGCUGAGGUGCGAAAGCGUGGGGAGCAAAUAGG
Molecule: ribosomal RNA, 253 nt
Filed under: uncultured bacterium
Lineage: Bacteria
Description: partial 16S ribosomal RNA
Rfam family: Bacterial small subunit ribosomal RNA
Source: RNAcentral